AGUGAACGCUGGCGGUAGGCCUAACACAUGCAAGUCGAACGGCAGCACAGUAAGAGCUUGCUCUUACGGGUGGCGAGUGGCGGACGGGUGAGGAAUACAUCGGAAUCUACUUUUUCGUGGGGGAUAACGUAGGGAAACUUACGCUAAUACCGCAUACGACCUACGGGUGAAAGCAGGGGAUCUUCGGACCUUGCGCGAUUGAAUGAGCCGAUGUCGGAUUAGCUAGUUGGCGGGGUAAAGGCCCACCAAGGCGACGAUCCGUAGCUGGUCUGAGAGGAUGAUCAGCCACACUGGAACUGAGACAAGGUCCAGACUCCUACGGGAGGCAGCAGUGGGGAAUAUUGGACAAUGGGCGCAAGCCUGAUCCAGCCAUACCGCGUGGGUGAAGAAGGCCUUCGGGCUGUAAAGCCCUUUUGUUGGGAAAGAAAAGCAGCAGGUUAAUACCCCGCUGUUCUGACGGUACCCAAAGAAUAAGCACCGGCUAACUUCGUG
Molecule: ribosomal RNA, 492 nt
Filed under: uncultured bacterium
Lineage: Bacteria
Description: partial 16S ribosomal RNA
Rfam family: Bacterial small subunit ribosomal RNA
Source: RNAcentral